RNAcentral lists this long non-coding RNA (5459 nucleotides) under Prunus dulcis (almond). RNAcentral describes it as "sRNA ncRNA". Lineage: Eukaryota; Viridiplantae; Streptophyta; Magnoliopsida; Rosales; Rosaceae. The record is from RNAcentral.
UUUCCUUAUAUUAGCUGCAAAUGAAGAAAUUUUAUUAUAAGAAUCAUUAUACAAUAAAAAGAAUUGGACAAUCGGUGCGUAGGAUCACUAAAUGGGAAAUUGACAUGGUCCUUUCCUCAUAGAAGUAUAACAACGGAAAAACUGAAAUAAAUGUGUUAAAAUAAAAUUCACAAAUGAAAGAUAUAUGUGGAUUAUUGGGCUCUCAAUUCAAGAAUCUCCUGGAUGAUGUUCAAAAACAUGCAUCCAAAACGCAACAGCAGCACAAGGCAGCACAGCAUCCCUUCCAGAAGCCAUCACCUUUUGACUUUGUUUCUACAGCUCCAUGUCCAUGGGGAUUUGGGGCAUCUCUUGUUGGAUAACCAGCAGGUGGUGGAGCCUGACUCGGCGCUGUAGAACAAGGUGGGGGAGGGUAUGCUGCUCCAGAGUUAGUUGAUGAACUCAUCUUUGAAUAAUAUUUCUAAGGGCCUUCAAAGUAUUCUAUGGAGGUAGAAGAAGAAAAUAAAAGAGAGAUGCUAGAAACAGAAGGGAAUGAAAACAAAGUGAAACACUUAGCUGGGUUUGGUUUGUUGGGUAGAUGAUAGAUGAGGCGCAAUUUAUAGAUCAAGAAAAGCAAGUGACAAUUAUUGGAGUGGUUGUUUCUGGGAAGAUGCGUAUUUGAUAUCUUACUAGUGGCUCUUACGCGGGCGGCUACAGUGUACACCGUGUACCUAUGUGGGGCAGUUCAGACCCCAAAAAGAAGAAGUAAGAAAGAAAGAAAGAAAACAAGACUACUAAGCAAAACGCAAUGGGCCCUGUUCUGUUCUCAUAAUUAGUUUUGGAGUGGACGACCUACGUAGGAAAGAGCAAUUAUAUUAUGGAAAAUACUUCCCUCCAUUCCCCGUUAGUAAAGGAAGAAGUUUCGACAUUUAUAUCAAUGGCAGUUUGAUAUAUGUGUAGAAGUUUUUCUUUUUGUGUUUUUUAUAAAUUAUUUUUGCACAUGUGUCAAAUUAUAAUUUACAAAAGGCUUUUUAUCACAAAACAUCCCUGACGUUAGCGAAACUAUCAAAUUACAUCCUUAAAGUUUUUUUUGUAUCACCUAUGGUCAGGGCGGAGGUGUGCUUAGGCCGGCAAGGGCCUUGGCCCUCCCAAAAUUCUGAAAUAGUAUAUAUAUUGCCUUUGCAUUGUACAACUUAGGACAAUAUAUAUAUAUAUAUAUAUAUAUAUUAAAUUAAUGCUUGUGGUCCCCCACAAUAAAGAGAAAGAGGGAUUUACAUUUUCCCCUCCAACUAAAAGACUCUUUCCUUAGCAAUAUGGCAAAGUUACUCCUAGAUUCUACCAACAUAAUUAAUAAAAAUUAAAAGAAACAGCCAAUCAAAUCUUUCUUUCACAAGUAUAUUUAAGAAAAUAGAGAAUUAAAGAUAAUCGGUUAUUUAUUUAUUUACAAGCUUAACACUGGGAAAGAAAUCAACAUUAAACCCUAAUAUAUUGGCCCCUUCACACAUAAAAUCCUAGCUCCGCCACUGCCCAUGGUCCUUAACGUUAAUAUGGGUGCUCUUAAAUAGUCCAUUCGUCAAAAAAAUCGUUAAAUCCCUAUUUUAUAAGAGAUAUAAUCAUCAAAUCAAUUCCUUUUGAACUCUUCAAUGCCUCGGACCCAUUUGCCACCAAUUUGGAACCAUUUCCCUCCAUUUCUCGUUGUUUUUUUUUUUUUUGCUAAUCAACAAAUAUCUAUUUUAAUUUUUUUUCUACAACUUCACCUUUUAUGCUUCCUGGGUGCUUGGAUAGCACCUUAGUAAAGUCGUUCGUCAAAGAGAUUGCUGUUUCUAUAAAGUCGUUCGUCAAAGAGAUUGCUGACUCUAAGUAAUCAAAUUUGAGAAGGAAAGUUAGCACAAACAAUGUAAUGGACCAAUCACAUAAGAAGGUUGUUAUUAAUCAGCAAUAAAAAACGAAGAACACUGAAAAGUACAGGCAUUCAAGCGUAAAUCAUAAAGAUCGCAUCACACAUCAAUCAUCAAUAUGUCAAAACAAGAGCAAAAAGAAUAGAGGGGGCGGGGGUGGUCGUGGGUCUUGAGAGGAGACAUUUACAGGGAAUUCUCACAAGCUCCCAUCCUAUAAAAAUAGAUGGAGCUAAGUCCCUUGCCUCAAGUAUUUAAUAAACAAUUUUAGAGCAACAAUUCAUCACAGGAAAGAUUUCGAACUAAAUAAAAAACAACACAAAAUAUAACAGUCCAAGAAUAUGGUGAAUAGGAGAAUUGAGAUUGUGAUACAAAUAAGUUCCUAAACAAGGCAUAUCAUUCACAGCACAAGAAGUUCAAAGAUUGUGAUACAAAUAGUUUGACUUUUUGACUUUAUUGUAUGGUCGAUCAAUAUGCCGCAUGGAUGGUUGGGAUUUUAUCUAUCCUUUGUAUGAGCCUUAGGCUUUUGUCUUAAGCAAAGAAUCUGAGAAAUACCCAAAACUGUCUAAGAAUUGCACCACAGAAGUUUUACCCAAACAACUACUCCAUCUUCCUCUGUUUUUCAUUCUGAAACUCUUCCUCAAAUCUUCUAUUGUUUAUCUAUUAUGGUGGCAGUAUCGAAUCGAAUGACAUAAGGGUUCUAUUAGAUUGAACAGCCAAUAUACAUUUUCCACAUGUUUGGUCACACGUUGUCCCACAUCAUCAACUGAUGACAUUGCAUACCCCACCCAGCCUAAAAUACAGUUAAUAACUUCAGAAUCCGAGUUCAUGUUUUCUUUCUUGUUUUCUUUUCAUUUUUUUCAAGCAAAUUCGUGAAUGUACGGUGUUAAUAUCAUAACGUGAAACCAUUUAAUACUCACAAAAACUUGUCUCUUUUAUUUGAACAAAUUAAAGAAUUUUACUAUACGAAUAAUGCAACAACAAGAAUUACAUAAUCGAAUAAUAACGCAAAAGUUACAAAAAGUGAGGAAAACAUAAUUCACAAACGAAUAAAGAAAUAUAUGAUUAGUAACUGGGCUGAAUUCAAGAAUCACAUGGGAUGAUGAUGUUCAAAAACAAGCAUCCAAGAGACAACAACAACACAAGGCAGCACAACAUCCCUUCCAGAAGCCAUCACCCUUGGACUUGGUUUCUACAGGCCCAUGAUGAGCGGAAGCAGGAUUUGGAGCAUCUCUUGUGGGAUAACCAGCAGGUGGCGGAGCCUGCACGUAAUAGGAUCCGGGCGCCAUCGAGUAAGGUUGGGGAUGAGGAGGGUAUGCUGCUGCGGAAUUAGUCGACGAACUCAUCUUAGUUGAAAAAUAAUAAGCUGAUUAUUUCUAGUUUGGGUUUGGUUUGUAUUGGAUGGUUUGAUUUGAUGAAUGAAGCCCCAUUUUAUAUGUAUAUACAUGAAGAAAACCAGAUGGGAAUUGGAGUGAUUGUUCAUUUCCUGGAAGGUCAAUAAUUAGUGUCUUAACGCGGGUGGCAACACUACACCGCGUGCAAAUCCAAAAUGUAUGUGGAGAAGAAAAAUACAAAAUGUUAUUCUUCUUAUUACUUUUGGACUGGCCAGUGGAAGGUACGUAGGAAAGAGCAAAUCAUAUUAUAUCCAACUCGUGAGAGGAUAUCCAACAUACUUUAGCUUGGAAAAAAGCUUUGGCUACUUCUCAAACUAAAUGGGUUUUUCACACUUUUCAUUUUCAUUUUAUUUUUAUUAUUUCUGAGAUUCUUUUAACUUUUUUAUUUUAAAAUUUGACCAGUGUCAAAAUACCAUUUGUUUUGAGGAUGAGCUCCUUCUUAGUUUUUAAAGAGCCAACCUUUGUGCGUCUCGCUUUCUAGAAGUAUUCUUCAAGAUGGUAACCUCCUUAGUUGUUUGUAGGUUAAAGCCAAAACAACUUAGCAGUCACUUGAUAUUUAUCCUCUACAAAUAAAUUAUAGUUUCACACCUGGAUAAAAACUUUUUACAUUAAAUUUUUUAGUUUCUUUUUUUGCUGUCACAUUUGCAUCAAUGAUUUCAUUCACAUUUUAUAGUUAUAUAACACUAAUGUAAGUAAGGGCUUAGCCAAGUUGAUUAGAGCAGAUGUGUUCCUUAUUCUGCACUUGAGUUCAAAUCUCCCUUCUUAUAAUUUAGAUUAUAUUGAAAUAGAUUAUCGUUUGUAUCAAAAAUAACAAUAAUGCACACGUGGACACAUGACUUUUAUUAUAUUUUUUGCAAUUGUAUUUGUCCAAGAAAUUGUUUUCCAUAUCUGUAUAAUGAGAUUUUAAUACUCUUAUCAAACUGAAGAGCACAUAUAAGAGCAUCUCCAAUGCAAAUAUGUAAAAAUAAGGAUGUAAGUGACUUUUACAUCUUCGGUGGUAUCUUGAUUGGAAUAUUCCAAGAUGUAAAACCAAUUUUCAACCUGAAAUUUACUUUCACCCACUAGAGAGGUAAAAUGUCAAAAAGUGUAUAUUGUAUUUUUUGGACCGUCGGAUUUUUUUUCCUAUUGAAUUUAAUUAAUGUUAUGUUUAAUUUUAAUUUUUUAACGUCAUAAAGCUUUUCUAUUUAUUUUUUGCAUUUGAAUUCAUCCGACAUAUUAAGGAAAUGAAACAUCAGUAAUUGUUUUUUGUUUCGUAUUAUACUAGUUAAGGUUGUUGGGUUAAGCGAUAUGUCUCACAUUGGGAAUGUAAGCCUCUAUAAAAUAUCUUUUAUACAAUGACCAAUGCUUCAGUUGAUUCUAUACAUGUGACUCGUGCGCUAUCAGAAAAAAAAGAAUUGCAAUAACUAAAUGAUGGUGUGAGUUAGCCAUGAACUCCAGUUACUAGAUCUAAUCCUCUACAAAAAAAAAAAAUAAAAAAUUCCACAUAUUUUGACCAAUUCAAGGUGAAAAAUGGGGUUGCUCCCAGUAGAACUAGGAUAAAGUUGAGCCAAAAGAUCAUGAUUCAAGAAAAAUUCAUGGAUGAUUUCCUUAUAUUAGCUGCAAAUGAAGAAAUUUUAUUAUAAAAAUCAUUAUACAAUAAAAAGAAUUGGACAACCGGUACGUAGGAUCGCUAAAUAGGAAAUCGACAUGGUCCCUUCCUCAUAGAAGUAUAACAACGGAAAAACUGAAAUAAAUGUGUCUAAAAUAAAAUUCACAAACGAAAGAUAUAUGUGGAUUAUUGGGCUCUCAAUUCAAGAAUCUCCUGGAUGAUGUUCAAAAACAUGCAUCCAAAGCGCAACAGCAGCACAAGGCCGCACAGCAUCCCUUCCAGAAGCCAUCACCUUUUGACUUAGUUUCUACAGCUCCAUGUCCAUGGGGAUUUGGGGCAUCUCUUGUUGGAUAACCAGCAGGUGGUGGAGCCUGACCCGGCGUUGUAGAACAAGGUGGGGGAGGGUAUGCUGCUCCAGAGUUAGUUGAUGAACUCAUCUUUGAAUAAUAUUUCUAAAGGGCCUUCAAAGUAUUCUAUGGAGGUAGAAGAAGAAAAUAAAAGAGAGAUGCUAGAAACAGAAGGGAAUGAAAACAAAGUGAAACACUUAGCUGGGUUUGGUUUGUUGGGUAGAUGAUAGAUGAGGCGCAAUUUAUAGAUCAAGAAAAG